Molecule: ribosomal RNA, 600 nt
Filed under: uncultured bacterium
Lineage: Bacteria
Description: bacterial SSU rRNA
Rfam family: Bacterial small subunit ribosomal RNA
Source: RNAcentral
ACGGGUGAGUAACGCGUGGGAAUCUGCCCUUUAGUGAGGAAUACCUUCGAGAAAUCGGAGUUAAUACUGCAUACGUCCCUUCGUAAGAAGGGAGAAAGAUGGCCUCUUUGCUGUCGCUAAAGGAUGAGCCUGCGUACUAUUAGCUAGUUGGUAGGGUAAUGGCCUACCAAGGCGAUGAUGGUUAGCCGGCCUGAGAGGGUGAUCGGCCACAUUGGAACUGAGACACGGUCCAGACUCCUACGGGAGGCAGCAGUGAGGAAUAUUGCGCAAUGGGCGAAAGCCUGACGCAGCGACACCGCGUGAAGGAUGAAGGCUUUAGGGUCGUAAACUUCUGUUAAGUGGGAAGAAAAGCCUGGUCCUAAUACGACUAGGAAAUGACGGUACCACUAGAGAAAGCACCGGCUAACUUCGUGCCAGCAGCCGCGGUAAGACGAGGGGUGCAAACGUUAUUCGGAAUGAUUGGGCGUAAAGGGUGCGUAGGCGGCUUAUUAAGUCAACUGUUAAAUUUCUCAGCUUAACUGAGAGUGUGCGGUAGAAACUGGUAAGCUUGAGGAUGGAAGAGAGAAGUAGAAUUCUCGGAGUAGCGGUAAAAUGCGUAGA